Molecule: long non-coding RNA, 935 nt
Organism: Bombus impatiens (common eastern bumble bee)
Lineage: Eukaryota; Metazoa; Arthropoda; Insecta; Hymenoptera; Apidae
Exons: 2
Source: RefSeq, a predicted model, not a curated record
UAUUAUUCAUGCUUGUUUUUUUUGAGAUAUUCGAGUAUUUAAUCUAGUAUUUUAUCAUAGAUAGACUUUACAUUAUCGGUGUUUGUUUUUAAGGUAAGUAGAAAUCCAUUUAUGAGCAUUUCCAUUUGUUGAAACGUAAUUUCAGGUGAUUAUCCGAGGUUUUACCGAUUCAGUCUACAUAUCUGAACCUGAGUUCUUAUCGCAUAAAGGAAAGAUCAUAGAUAGUAGGGAAAUUUGUCGAACUUCUAUCGCAUGAACUCCAACUAUAUAAAUUGUUUGUCCCUAGACAAGUUCACAUACAGUAAUAAGCAAAACUGAACACACGCUCUUUAAAACUCUUGUAACAACUAUUUUAAAAUUCGACCAAACGAAUUGAUUCUUUCUUUGAAAAGUUAGAUAGAUUAGUCGACUAGACUAAAAUUGUUGUUGCAAUUUUUAAAACAUUAUUCUAUCUUAACGGCUGUGUGUUCGGUUUUGCAUAUUAUCGUAAAUAGAGUUCUAUCGUAUUGAAGUAUUUAAUGCACGUGUAUGAGCAUCUCAGAAACUUGUAUUCCAUGUGGACAGACUUUGUAUUAUAGAUGUUUCCGUUUUUUAUGCAGUGUUUUAUGCAGUAGACGCGUAUUGGGUCAGUAUCGAUCAGUGGUAAUUGAAAUUCUACUUAUAAACGAUAAUAGAAUGAAAUGUUGUUAUUAGAGGCGCAAAAUUCUCGGCUACACGCGAGGAGAUUGAUCUGUAUCUGCGAAACUGAUAAAACUCCUCUUGUCGAAUUUAUUGCAUGUAAGAAUGGCGAAUAAAGAUUCGAGAGAAACUUAUGGAACAAUGCGAUCUAUGCUUUAUUCAGUCGUGUAAACUGUGAUAAAUAUAUGUAGGAAUAAACCGCAUCAUUGUAUGUAAACGUCGACGAAAUGGCGCGUAAUAAAUAUUGAUGGCUGAGA